CCUCUCAGGGAACCAGAACAGCAGGUGUGGGGAAAAGUAAUGACAGGACUCCAUUUUACUGGCUGUCACAUCCCAGCAUGCUCGGCGCUGUCCAGUCGAGUGCACCGACUGAAAGAUGACAAGCUGACAGCUCACCACACAGGAUACCAGGCGUCUAAUGACAUUCUGCGAGUCCUCUGUGUGAGUGUGAUUGUUCGUCUGGGGGAAUGUUGCCACAUCAACACAAAAUCGAACAAUGGACCAAAAUAUAAUGGCUCUGGACGCUACCAGUUUCCAAGGCAACAAUUGUGACAGAUUUGGGGGAGACAAGACAGGUAAUUGGAAAAAGAUUGAUGGGGUACAAGAGAGUGGAAAAAAAACCCUAUCAAAGGAGGUCUCUCUGGGAAUAACAACAAUACAAUAAAGGGUCUUGCAUCCUCUUGGACCAUCCGCGGCCUCCUGU
This is a non-coding RNA of Danio rerio (zebrafish), 442 nucleotides long. Lineage: Eukaryota; Metazoa; Chordata; Actinopteri; Cypriniformes; Danionidae. The record is from Ensembl.